GAAAGAUUUGCCAUGCAGGGCUUUUGGCGUUACUGUCUCAGGGUAAUGAAGAUACAUCCGACACAUUCUGAGGAGCAGGAUAAUUGCUGUCAUCAACACCAGUCAGUGUUUGGGUGAGAUGGCUUUAAACAGUGCAGCAGGGAGGAAAAGCACAGCUAAAUGCUGCUCUGCUGAGCUGGGCACGCAGCGAGGAGAGCAAGGCUUCACCAAAACCAGCCUGUCCCCCCUCCAGGAGAAGUUUGAGUUAGCAGCAGUCUCCUUCCCCUCUCGUGUUGGCAGAAAUGCUGCUGCCACUGCUGCCAUGUGGCUUGGAGUGACUUCAGAUGUGACUCCUCCAGAGGGUCCUCCCCGAACUCAAGUUAUUGAUCUCAACGACCCAAGGAGGAAAACUGCCAAUGUGCAAAAUUUCAUUAACUUGCAAGGCAGCAAGACAGAGUCCCCCAGGCCAAAUUGCAAAUCUGCAAAUCAUGGUGUAAGGUAG
Molecule: long non-coding RNA, 481 nt
Filed under: Zonotrichia albicollis (white-throated sparrow)
Lineage: Eukaryota; Metazoa; Chordata; Aves; Passeriformes; Passerellidae
Description: lncRNA (ENSZALG00000004252.1)
Source: RNAcentral